AUGGAUGUUGAUUCUUGCAAGGGGACUGAAAUACUUCCGGACUUUGAUUGGAGUAUACCUCCAUCCUCCCCUGAUGUUGUUUCCAAUGGCAUUGACACUAGUGACCAAUGUUGUCACUUUCUGAACCCAGCAAGAAGAGUUUGUUGUGAGGGCUAUGACUAUGGUCGUAUAUUUCUUGUCUGUCCUGUUGAGGGUUAUGAUACAUGUGCUUAUCUGAAGCGGGUGGACAAAGAAUGGCAAGGGAGGCCUAGGAAGGUGAUUGGCAAACUUGCUCAAGAGAAUGUGGCUCUUCAGAAAUUUGUCUUUGACAAGGAUGCUGAAAUUAUGAGGCUGAAGGAAGAGAGCGAGGCCAUGAUCAUGAAGCACAAGAAGGAGAUCAGAACUAGGGAUAGGAGGAAAAUUUGGUUAACCUGUUUGGUCUGCUGCUCUACACUGUUUAAUGGUGUUGUAGCUCUAGUGAUAAAAGGUUUUGUGUAA
Molecule: ribosomal RNA, 477 nt
Filed under: Triticum aestivum (bread wheat)
Lineage: Eukaryota; Viridiplantae; Streptophyta; Magnoliopsida; Poales; Poaceae
Description: partial small subunit ribosomal RNA
Source: RNAcentral